This 794-nucleotide long non-coding RNA is filed under the name Ursus maritimus (polar bear). RNAcentral's name for it is "lncRNA (ENSUMAG00000017149.1)". Lineage: Eukaryota; Metazoa; Chordata; Mammalia; Carnivora; Ursidae. The record is from RNAcentral.
CUCAUCCCCCCGGGGGAUCACGGGGCUCUGCUGCCCGCCAGGUCUGUACGCAGGCAGACGGGAAGGAAAAGGAUGUGCUGAGCCUCCAGGGCGAGCAGGGCCUUUGAUAAACAGCCACGUUCUUCAGGCCAGAGAGUGGCCUGGGAAUUCUUUGCUGUGCAAUGUGUCAUCAGCAGGGGGUGAGCGGCAAACAGCUGGCCACCCAAUGCAGCAACAUGGCUGGAACAGAGCUGGUGCCGUGCACUGUCCGCGGGUGGCGCCCAGCUGCGCUGCUGUGGACAAGGUCCCCUGCAAGACUUCUCUUGCUGCCACGCUCCCUGGCCAGGGCUGCGGAGCUCAGGAGAAGAAAGGAAAGUUACCAAAUGUUUGUCCUGACGAGGGCUCCUGGGUGUGAUGGAGAGACCCCAGCAGACGCUGUCCGCAGCGUGUCUGCAGUGCCAGCGAGAGCUGCUGGUCUCUGGGCUUCCUGCAGGCUCCGUCUCGUCCCAUUCACAGGGACUUGCCCCAACCAGCUGGCCGCUUUCAGUUGACUCUGAACAUCCCACCACACUUGCUUUACUCCUGUUUUGGCCCAAGGACAUUUCGACAUGGACAGAAACCAUCAAGCUUUCAACUUUAUUAUCAAGUAACACAUGAACCAGACCUUCUGUACCCAUGCUUGCGCCUCACAGAUUCUCCCAGCAUGCAAAUCCCCCCACCGUCUAGGACGCAAGGUGCUUCAGGCUCAGGGGUGGCUAAAGGUCAGGAAAACCAGCUGUGCCAAUUUCUUGGUAAUAAAUAUCUAUUUUUACACA